RNAcentral lists this non-coding RNA (148 nucleotides) under Nomascus leucogenys (northern white-cheeked gibbon). The record is from Rfam by way of RNAcentral. Lineage: Eukaryota; Metazoa; Chordata; Mammalia; Primates; Hylobatidae.
GCCGGGCGUGGUGGCGCACGCCUGUAAUCCCAGCUACUCAGGAGGUUGAGACAGGAGAAUUGCUUGAACCCAGGAGGCGGAGGUUGCAGUGAGCUGAGAUCACGCCAUUGCACUCCAGCUUGGGUGACAGAGCAAGACUCCGUCUCAA